RNAcentral lists this ribosomal RNA (253 nucleotides) under uncultured bacterium. RNAcentral describes it as "partial 16S ribosomal RNA". It matches the Rfam family "Bacterial small subunit ribosomal RNA", at positions 524 to 776 of the family's 1533-position model. The record is from RNAcentral.
UACAGAGGGUGCUAGCGUUGUUCGGAAUCAUUGGGCGUAAAGGGCGUGUAGGCGGUUUGUUAAGUCAGACGUGAAAUCCCUCAGCUUAACUGGGGAACUGCGUCUGAUACUGGAUGGCUUGAGUUUGGGAGAGGGAUGCGGAAUUCCAGGUGUAGCGGUGAAAUGCGUAGAUAUCUGGAGGAACACCGGUGGCGAAGGCGGCAUCCUGGACCAACACUGACACUGAUGAGCGAAAGCCAGGGGAGCAAACGGG